ACAAACAUGAGGUCUUGUCAUCAUUGAACGACGCGAUUACAAACUUGCAAUGAGAAUUUCGAGUUCAUGUCAAUUGACAAGUUGAACAUAACACAAAUGAGAGGUUCAUCUCGAAACUUGCAAUAACAACUCAUGGUUCAUGACUUGACAAGUUCCAACAUAACACAAAUUCAAAAGUAGCCUUCACAUGAGAAAGACAACUUCACCAUCUGCAAAGAAACAACACAUAACAGCCAUAAUCAGUACAUUUGAUGUUUUUAGUUCAGUUUAACGUUUCAAUGGGGCAAGCUGGAAACAUGAUUCCAACAGUAUCUUGGGUUUCUGUAUGUCAUAUGCGUAAUACUAGUAUGUUGUCCCUGCAGAAUCAACCAACCAUUGGGAUCUCUAGAAUCACAAGACUCGUCUCAUUACAGUGGAGAAACUGAGGGUUUUUUUUUGUUUUUGUUUUUUUUUGCGAGAAGUGGAGAAACUGAGGUUGCCAAGCAAGAUUCAUGUACUGCAGUGGCAGCAGAUGCAAAUGACCUGACUAUAUUGAAACAAGCUGAAAUUGAUAGCCUGAAGGUUCUAAUGAUAUGCACUCAAAAUAUUCUGCCAAAAACGUUAUUUUCUAUGUUGGCAAGAUUUGACCACUACGUACAUCCGAAGACCAAAAAACAGCACAGUGAUGGCUAAGUCUCCAUUCUCUAGCACUACAUCUCCUGACCAAACGUGUCUACAUCUUGGUCCAAACCUCAUAGCCGGAUGAGGUUUACAGUCAGGUUACCUCCUCUUGGUGAUCGUUGUCGUGGUCGUGGCGCUCGGCGAGGAACCAGGGGAGGCAGGACCGACGGCGCGCUCGC
Molecule: long non-coding RNA, 839 nt
Filed under: Triticum aestivum (bread wheat)
Lineage: Eukaryota; Viridiplantae; Streptophyta; Magnoliopsida; Poales; Poaceae
Description: long non-coding RNA (TAES_LNC000915)
Source: RNAcentral